UACUGUACUUUGGGCUCUUAUUUUGUCAGAUCUCAGAAGCUAAGCAGGGUCUUACCUGGUCAGUACUUAAGAUGGGUGAUCUCCAAAGAGCAUCAGGUGCUGCAGUAA
Molecule: ribosomal RNA, 108 nt
Organism: Sphenodon punctatus (tuatara)
Lineage: Eukaryota; Metazoa; Chordata; Lepidosauria; Sphenodontia; Sphenodontidae
Source: Ensembl